RNAcentral lists this ribosomal RNA (550 nucleotides) under uncultured bacterium. RNAcentral's name for it is "bacterial SSU rRNA". It matches the Rfam family "Bacterial small subunit ribosomal RNA", at positions 355 to 896 of the family's 1533-position model. The record is from RNAcentral.
UAGGGANNCNUCNNNAAUGGACGGAAGUCUGACCGAGCAACGCCGCGUGAGUGAAGAAGGUUUUCGGAUCGUAAAGCUCUGUUGUAAGAGAAGAACGAGUGUGAGAGUGGAAAGUUCACACUGUGACGGUAUCUUACCAGAAAGGGACGGCUAACUACGUGCCAGCAGCCGCGGUAAUACGUAGGUCCCGAGCGUUGUCCGGAUUUAUUGGGCGUAAAGCGAGCGCAGGCGGUUAGAUAAGUCUGAAGUUAAAGGCUGUGGCUUAACCAUAGUACGCUUUGGAAACUGUUUAACUUGAGUGCAAGAGGGGAGAGUGGAAUUCCAUGUGUAGCGGUGAAAUGCGUAGAUAUAUGGAGGAACACCGGUGGCGAAAGCGGCUCUCUGGCUUGUAACUGACGCUGAGGCCCGAAAGCGUGGGGAGCAAACAGGAUUAGAUACCCUGGUAGUCCACGCCGUAAACGAUGAGUGCUAGGUGUUAGACCCUUUCCGGGGUUUAGUGCCGUAGCUAACGCAUUAANCACUCCGCCUGGGGAGUACGACCGCAAGGUUG